AGCUCCAGUAGCGUAUAUUAAAGUUGUUGCAGUUAAAAAGCUCGUAGUUGGAUUUCUGAUGAGCCGCUACGGCCCGCUGUCUUUAUGUGCCUACCGUUCAUUCGGCCGGGUACAUGUAAGCUGGAUCUAUUACUUUGAAAAAAUUAGAGUGUUUAAAGCAGGCUUAUGCUGUGAAUACAUUAGCAUGGAAUAAUAUUUUAGGACUUUGGUUCUAUUUUGUUGGUUUCUAGGACUGAAGUAAUGAUUGAUAGGGAUAGUUGGGGGUGCUAGUAUUCCAUGGCCAGAGGUGAAAUUCUUGGAUUCAUGGAAGACUAACUACUGCGAAAGCAUUCACCAAGGAUGUCUUCU
Molecule: ribosomal RNA, 348 nt
Filed under: uncultured eukaryote
Lineage: Eukaryota
Description: SSU rRNA
Rfam family: Eukaryotic small subunit ribosomal RNA
Source: RNAcentral